RNAcentral lists this ribosomal RNA (440 nucleotides) under uncultured bacterium. Its description in RNAcentral is "partial 16S ribosomal RNA". It matches the Rfam family "Bacterial small subunit ribosomal RNA", at positions 338 to 795 of the family's 1533-position model. The record is from RNAcentral.
CCUACGGGGUGCUGCAGUGGGGAAUAUUGCACAAUGGGGGAAACCCUGAUGCAGCGACGCCGCGUGAGUGAAGAAGUAAUUCGUUAUGUAAAGCUCUAUCAGCAGGGAAGAAAAUGACGGUACCUGAGUCAGAAGCCCCGGCUAACUACGUGCCAGCAGCCGCGGUAAUACGUAGGGGGCAAGCGUUAUCCGGAUUUACUGGGUGUAAAGGGAGCGUAGACGGCAGUGCAAGUCUGGAGUGAAAGGCGGGGGCUCAACCCCCGGACUGCUCUGGAAACUGUACGGCUGGAGUGCAGGAGAGGUGAGUGGAAGUCCUAGUGUAGCGGUGAAAUGCGUAGAUAUUAGGAGGAACACCAGUGGCGAAGGCGGCUUACUGGACUGUAACUGACGUUGAGGCUCGAAAGCGUGGGGAGCAAACAGGAUUAGAUACCCGAGUAGUC